Molecule: ribosomal RNA, 253 nt
Filed under: uncultured bacterium
Lineage: Bacteria
Description: partial 16S ribosomal RNA
Rfam family: Bacterial small subunit ribosomal RNA
Source: RNAcentral
UACAGAGGGUGCAAGCGUUAAUCGGAAUUACUGGGCGUAAAGGGCGCGUAGGUUGCUAUAUAAGUUGUUUGUGAAAUCCCCGGGCUUAACCUGGGAACUGCAAGCAAAACUGUAUAGCUGGAGUACUGUAGAGGGUAGUGGAAUUUCCGGUGUAGCGGUGAAAUGCGUAGAGAUCGGAAGGAACACCAGUGGCGAAGGCGGCUACCUGGACAGAUACUGACACUGAGGCGCGAAAGCGUGGGUAGCAAACAGG